CCUACGGGAGGCAGCAGUGAGGAAUAUUGGUCAAUGGCCGGAAGGCUGAACCAGCCAAGCCGCGUGAAGGACGAAGGUGCCAAGCAUUGUAAACUUCUUUUGUCAAGGGACAAAAUCAGGCUCGAGAGCCUGACCGAGGGUACUUGAAGACAAAGCAUAGGCUAACUCCGUGCCAGCAGCCGCGGUAAUACGGAGGAUGCGAGCGUUAUCCGGUUUUAUGGGGUUUAAAGGGUGCGUAGGCGGCCUGUUAAGUCAGCGGUAAAAGCCCGGGGCUCAACCCCGGCGAGACGUUGAAACUGGCUGUCUUGAGAAGUCGAGAGGUAUGCGGAAUGCGCAGUGUAGCGGUGAAAUGCUUAGAUAUUGCGCAGAACUCCGAUUGCGAAGGCAGCAUACCGGCGGCGAUCUGACGCUGAGGCACGAAAGCGUGGGUAUCGAACAGGAUUAGAUACCCCUGUAGUC
This 459-nucleotide ribosomal RNA is filed under the name uncultured bacterium. Its description in RNAcentral is "partial 16S ribosomal RNA". It matches the Rfam family "Bacterial small subunit ribosomal RNA", at positions 338 to 795 of the family's 1533-position model. The record is from RNAcentral.